RNAcentral lists this small nuclear RNA (23 nucleotides) under Arabidopsis thaliana (thale cress). RNAcentral describes it as "snRNA_04533". Lineage: Eukaryota; Viridiplantae; Streptophyta; Magnoliopsida; Brassicales; Brassicaceae. The record is from RNAcentral.
CCACAUUUUGGUCCACGUGGAAU